AUUGAACGCUGGCGGCAUGCUUUACACAUGCAAGUCGAACGGCAGCACGGGUGCUUGCACCUGGUGGCGAGUGGCGGACGGGUGAGUAAUGCAUCGGAACGUGUCCUGAAGUGGGGGAUAACGCAUCGAAAGAUGUGCUAAUACCGCAUAUUCUCUGAGGAGGAAAGUAGGGGAUCGAAAGACCUUAUGCUUUUGGAGCGGCCGAUGUCUGAUUAGCUAGUUGGUAGGGUAAUGGCUUACCAAGGCGACGAUCAGUAGUUGGUCUGAGAGGACGACCAGCCACACUGGGACUGAGACACGGCCCAGACUCCUACGGGAGGCAGCAGUGGGGAAUUUUGGACAAUGGGCGCAAGCCUGAUCCAGCAAUGCCGCGUGAGUGAAGAAGGCCUCGGUUGUAAGACUCUUUC
This 407-nucleotide ribosomal RNA is filed under the name uncultured bacterium. RNAcentral describes it as "bacterial SSU rRNA". It matches the Rfam family "Bacterial small subunit ribosomal RNA", at positions 30 to 437 of the family's 1533-position model. The record is from RNAcentral.